AACGAACGCUGGCGGCAUGCCUAACACAUGCAAGUCGAACGUGACCUUCGGGUCUAGUGGCGCACGGGUGCGUAACACGUGGGAAUUUGCCUCGGGGUAUGGAAUAAACUCAGGGAAACUUGAGCUAAUACCAUAUAAUGUCUUCGGACCAAAGAUUUAUCGCCCUGAGAUAAGCCCGCGUAGGAUUAGCUAGUUGGUGGGGUAAAGGCUCACCAAGGCGACGAUCCUUAGCUGGUCUGAGAGGAUGAUCAGCCACACUGGGACUGAGACACGGCCCAGACUCCUACGGAGGCAGCAGUGGGGAAUAUUGGACAAAUGGGCGAAAGCCUGAUCCAGCAAUGCCGCGUGAGUGAUGAAGG
RNAcentral lists this ribosomal RNA (359 nucleotides) under uncultured bacterium. Its description in RNAcentral is "bacterial SSU rRNA". It matches the Rfam family "Bacterial small subunit ribosomal RNA", at positions 29 to 414 of the family's 1533-position model. The record is from RNAcentral.